GACAUUCUUCUAAACAAGACACAAUGAAUAUUCUUCGUCAAUGGUCAGUUUCACCAAAUACCACAACAUCACAUUCUAAGGUUCAUUGAUUUUUAUGACAUAAUUUCAAGAUUCCGUGUAUAACAUAAAUACUUUACAAAAUAACAAAGAAAUUACAUUGUUUCAUGGUUCGAAUUCACAAACACUCACUUUACAACAAAUGAUUCAAUUACAUUACAUCAGCAAUUAAGCAUGCCAGCAACAUAUUAAACGGUACCCAAACACAAAACAAUGGAUUCUUGAAUGAACACGUGGGCAUUUUCCACGGAGAACCCUAUUUAUCCUGAGUGCAAUUUGGCCUCUGGUCUGUGACAGCUAUCUGUAGAAAACAAGAUCACAAUAAAAUGGAUCAAUUAAGAUCCACGCAAAUUAACAUCCAAAUCAAAAACCAAGUAUGAGAAAAUUAUAAUUUGGCCUCAGACAUCCAAGGAAGGAUAAAGCAGCAUUAACUCUCAAGCCUGGCGAAGGCGAAAGUUCUUAGGCGGCCACUGCGAAUGUCUUGAGAAACAAGCCUUACUUUUAUCAUCACUGGCCAUAAGAAACACAAAAGAAUGCACAAAAUACAAAAUAUUUGUGCACCGUCCCUCAAAAGCAGUAUCUCUAAUAAUUGGAAAGAUAAUUCUACCUACAAUUAGUAGGAUCGGCUUAUGCGAUUUAAUGCAAAAAACACAGAAGAACUUGCAGUAAAGACAUAUUAGGGAUCAAAGAAUAUUUCAAAAUCACAAAAAUAAAACAUUCAGAUAAAAUAGUAUCACAGACUCUCAGACAUCCAAGGAAGGAUAAAGCAGCAUUAACUCUCAAGCUUGGCGAAGGCGAAAGUUCUUAGUCGGCCACUGCGAAUGUCUUGAGAAACAAGCCUUAGGAUUAUCAUCAUAGAGCAUCUACAUUAAAGUAAAUAAUCUUAACAAAUCAGAACAAAAAUCAUAAUGAAAAGAAAAAAUUACAUAAAUGAAAAUGUUAUAAAUCUCAGACAUCCAAGGAAGGAUAAAACAGCAUUAGCUCUCAAGCCUGGCGAAGGCGAAAGCUCUUGGUCGGCCACUGCGAAUGUAUUGAGAAACAAGCCUUCAAGAUAUCAUCAUAGACGUAACCAAUUCAAUACAAUGCAAUACAAUUAAUCAGAUUUGGGAACAAAACAAAAUAUUUUAAGCUAUAUAAACAAAGGUGGAGAAUAGUUAAAUCGGGAAUUUAUGAAGGGAUCAUCAGAUAGGAGCGAAAGACUAUUAACAAAUUAGUAAUCACAGAUAAUCAUCUGAACUAUGCAUUUAAAAUCAUCAUUUGAACCCUUCCACAACAACCAUGACUACGUAAUUGAAACAAUUAACUAAAUAAAGUACUUUCACACAAUAAAAUAGAAAUUUGUGAAAAAAAUAAGCCUCAGAAGGAAGGCAGUAGGUGAUGGUAAUCAUGAAAUUUCAUACAUUACACGUUAACCAUUUCUAGCAUCAUAGGCAGAUCACAGAAUCAAAAAACAUUUUCAACAGAAAUAAAUAAAGAGUUUUAAAAAAAUUAAGAAUGAGAUAAUUGGCCUCAUAGAGAAGAUUAGGUUGAUCCACAUAAGUUAGUUCAGACAUAUGCUUGUCUUUUUUUUAGAUUUAAUCACUGGCCAAUCAAAAAAUCAGAAACCCUAAUUCUAAAAAGCUAUAACAUAAAACAUAAAAAGAUGAGAAAUUAAUAUGAAAAAAUAAGGGACUCGGAAUAUGGGUGGUGAUAUAGCAGAAUGGUCGGCAAGGCCAAAAGGCCGAUUACGACGAACGAGACCUUAACUAUAAAUCAUCAUCGUCCCUAAUGAAUUAAAUAACUUGUGAAAACAAAGAUUGAAAAAUAAAAGAUUGAGAAGAAAGAAACACUAUGCUAUAGAGAGAGGGAGAGAGAAGCGUGAAAUGAAAGAGGGGAGUGGGUGGGUUAUAAAGAGGGGGAAAGAGAGAACUAGGGUUUUGGUAAAGCGGCGGCGAGAGACUCGUGCCAAAAUAUAAGUCUCUA
RNAcentral lists this long non-coding RNA (2019 nucleotides) under Lupinus angustifolius (narrow-leaved blue lupine). RNAcentral's name for it is "long non-coding RNA (LANG_LNC001016)". Lineage: Eukaryota; Viridiplantae; Streptophyta; Magnoliopsida; Fabales; Fabaceae. The record is from RNAcentral.